AUGAGGGCUUCCCUGAUCAUUUCCCUCACACCACGUUUCUUCACGUUGAAGAGUGAUGAACAUUAUUUAGGUGACAUUCCAGAGAUGAAGUGUCCUCCAGGCUUUGUGAUUGCCCUAUUCUUCAUGCUUGGGCAAACCCAUGGGGACUCAGUGAACCAGACAGAAGGCCAAGUGACCCUCUCAGAAGAGGCCUUCAUGACUAUGAACUGUACUUUCUCAACAUCAUGGACCCCCACUCUAGUCUGGUAUGUCCAGUAUCUGGGAGAAGGUCCAAAGCUCCUCCUGAAAGCCGUGACAGACAAGGAAAAGGGAAGCAACAAAGGUUUUGAAGCCACCUUGGACAAAACAUCCAGAUCCUUCCACUUGAAGAAAGGCUCGGUGCAACUGUCAGACUCAGCUGUGUACUACUGUGCCUUGAGUGACACAGUGAUAGGGACUGCAGAGGGAGCUGGGUGCAAACUCUGA
This is a non-coding RNA of Nyctereutes procyonoides (raccoon dog), 465 nucleotides long. Lineage: Eukaryota; Metazoa; Chordata; Mammalia; Carnivora; Canidae. The record is from the annotation of a RefSeq genome assembly.